Molecule: ribosomal RNA, 520 nt
Filed under: uncultured Glomus
Lineage: Eukaryota; Fungi; Glomeromycota; Glomeromycetes; Glomerales; Glomeraceae
Description: SSU rRNA
Rfam family: Eukaryotic small subunit ribosomal RNA
Source: RNAcentral
AGCAGCCGCGGUAAUUCCAGCUCCAAUAGCGUAUAUUAAAGUUGUUGCAGUUAAAAAGCUCGUAGUUGAGUUUCGGGACCAAUCUGCCGGUCGUGCCUCCGGUACGCACUGGUUUUAUUGGUCUCUCCCUUCUGACGAACCAUGAUGUCAUUAAUUUGGUGUCUUGGGGAAUCAGGACUGUUACUUUGAAAAAAUUAGAGUGUUUAAAGCAGGCUCACGCUUGAAUACAUUAGCAUGGAAUAAUGAAAUAGGACGUUUGGUUCUAUUUUGUUGGUUUCUAGGAUCGACGUAGUGAUUAAUAGGGAUAGUUGGGGGCAUUAGUAUUCAAUUGUCAGAGGUGAAAUUCUUGGAUUUAUUGAAGACUAACUACUGCGAAAGCAUUUGCCAAGGAUGUUUUCAUUAAUCAAGAACGAAAGUUAGGGGAUCGAAGACGAUCAGAUACCGUCGUAGUCUUAACCAUAAACUAUGCCGACUAGGGAUCGGAUGAUGUUAAUUUUUUAAUGACUCAUUCGGCGCCUUA